GGUAGCUCGCGGCCGGCGGCCGCGGUAAUACGGAGGUGGCGAGCGUUGUUCGGAAUUAAUGGGCGUAAAGCGCACGUAGGCGGCUUUGUAAGUUAGAGGUGAAAGCCCGGGGCUCAACUCCGGAAUGGCCUUUAAGACUGCAUCGCUAGAAUUGUGGAGAGGUAAGUGGAAUUCCGAGUGUAGAGGUGAAAUUCGUAGAUAUUCGGAAGAACACCAGUGGCGAAGGCGACUUACUGGACACAUAUUGACGCUGAGGUGCGAAAGCGUGGGGAGCAAACAGGAUUAGAUACCCUUGUAGUC
RNAcentral lists this ribosomal RNA (300 nucleotides) under uncultured Staphylothermus sp. RNAcentral describes it as "bacterial SSU rRNA". It matches the Rfam family "Bacterial small subunit ribosomal RNA", at positions 496 to 795 of the family's 1533-position model. Lineage: Archaea; Thermoproteati; Thermoproteota; Thermoprotei; Desulfurococcales; Desulfurococcaceae. The record is from RNAcentral.